GUAGUCAUAUGCUUGUCUCAAAGAUUAAGCCAUGCAUGUCUAAGUAUAAGCAAUUAUACAGCGAAACUGCGAAUGGCUCGUUAAAUCAGUUAUCGUUUAUUUGAUAGUACCUUACUACUUGGAUAACCGUGGUAAUUCUAGAGCUAAUACAUGCUAAAAACCCCGACUCACGAAGGGGUGUAUUUAUUAGAUUAAAAGCCAAUGCCCUCCGGGGCUCACUGGUGAUUCAUAAUAACUUGUCGAAUCGCAUGGCCUUGCGCCGGCGAUGGUUCAUUCAAAUUUCUGCCCCAUCAACUUUCGACGGCUGGGUCUUGGCCAGCCAUGGUGACAACGGGUAACGGAGGGUUAGGGCUCGACCCCGGAGAACGAGCCUGAGAAACGGCUAUUACAUCCAAGGAAGGCAGCAGGCGCGCAAAUUACCCAAUACCGACCCGGUGAGGUAGUGACGAUAAAUACUGAUACAGGGCUCUUUUGGGUCUUGUAAUUGGAAUGAGUACAAUUUAAAUCCCUUAACGAGGAACAAUUGGGGGGCAAGUCUGGUGCCAGCAGCC
Molecule: ribosomal RNA, 551 nt
Filed under: uncultured eukaryote
Lineage: Eukaryota
Description: SSU rRNA
Rfam family: Eukaryotic small subunit ribosomal RNA
Source: RNAcentral